CAGCUCCGGCCAUCCCAGCGCGCCCUCGGCACGGCUGCCUGUGGGCGUCUCAUCUCAGUGCUGGGCUUUGACAGCCUGUCCUCCGUGCCUCUGCGUGGCUCCGUGGAAAGGAGAAAGGGCCUUGAGUUAAACGGAGGUGCUUCGCCGUGAAGAUGCCUCCGCACAGCACGUAGAGCUUACAGACGUGGUGGUCCCACAGAGAGAGCCGACGGAGGGACGCUGUGGCUGGAGCAAGCUCCCACACUGCGGCAGACCCCAUUUUUACCUGCUCCUCCCAGCUCAGCUCUCCUUUGUCGCUGGUGGCAAAGCCGUGAAGCUGUGAUGUCCUGCAGGCCUGUCCCACCGCCAGGAAUGGUUGCCCUCAGUUGUGAGUGGGAUGCAGGAGGUUCUCCUCUAUGACUUGCGUUCUAGCACUCAGCAGAGCUCAGAAAAGCAAGAAAACAACCUUCCUGGUUAAUCUUUCUUUGUGCAACGCUACGGUUAUCUGCAGAGGGUCUCUUCCAAAAAGUCACGUAUAAUAAUAGCAUUGUUUUCCAGAACAAUCCUUUAUUAAUCCAAUAAAAACAAGAGUGUGCUUUGCUUUGGCAGAGAACUGCAUAAACAUGACAGCACUCAAAACCAGUUGUGUUUCUGAGUGGAAUGCUUUAUUCCAGCAAGGAAUCUGUUAUUUGGCUACAGUCCCACGGAGGAGUUCAAACAAUUGAAAUGUCAUUACCGUGACAGGAUGAUGGCCAAGAAGUGAUGACUCAGAUUGUCCCUCUGGCACAUGAAGCACAGCACAACAUGUUGGGCACAGGAGCUGGAGAGAGAAGAGACCAAAAUAAGUUUUAACCAUUUUGGCACAUGGCUCUGAUUUGUGGCAGGAGCCACAGUUCAGAAUGGCUUCUCUGAGAUCCAGGAACGUCCUGUAGGGUCUUCCUUUCACUGGCAUUGCAAGAACCUGACACUGAAACAGCUCUUGCAUCAUAUUCAGACAAAGAAGAAUCUUACGUACAAACCGAUCAGUCAUCUCUUCUGGGUAACGCUGAAUUUUUGCAGAUACAGCUCUUAAAAUGAGUGGUGUUCAAAGCUAUCACAGAAUGUUUCAAUCUCAAGCCCUCGGAUGUUAAUUGGAAGAAGAAAGCAAGCUAUUUGCACUACUGUAAUAAGCUGCGGCGAUUUUGUUAUGUUAGACGGGAGUGUUAAUGAUGAGCCACAAAUGCAAGUUUUUACAAAGCCUCUGAGAAUUAAGCACUACGUCCUAUAUUCCUCUUCCUUGCUGUUCCAGUGAAAAGCAUACGUGUGGAAGAACAAAUGAAAAUGUUGUCAUGGUGAUCAGAGCAGUUACCGAGUCAUUUACCGUGUAGGAAGGAUUCCCUAAAGAACCUUAUUAAGCAUUCUGUUGCUCCUUUUUAACAAAUGUUUUCAGAAAGCCGUUUUAAUUUCACUGUCGAAGUAAGCCAAAGCCUGUUUCUCUACCCUCCAAAAUAAAGCUGAGCAUGCAAGCAUCAAUAAAUAUUGUUGUUAGAAGUUAGGAAUGGGAGCCAAGACAGAGCCUAAAUAAAAAGACCUACUCG
This is a long non-coding RNA of Gallus gallus (chicken), 1556 nucleotides long. Lineage: Eukaryota; Metazoa; Chordata; Aves; Galliformes; Phasianidae. The record is from Ensembl.